RNAcentral lists this unclassified non-coding RNA (737 nucleotides) under Hevea brasiliensis (rubber tree). The record is from RNAcentral. Lineage: Eukaryota; Viridiplantae; Streptophyta; Magnoliopsida; Malpighiales; Euphorbiaceae.
GGCGAUGCAUAUUUUAAGCCACUUGAGAUAAUUUACUGUGUUUCUUGCUUUCAAAGGGGCCAAUUAUGAAAGAAAGAGACCCUUCUUGUGUCAUAUGAGCAAGGCAUCAACGAUAAUUUGAUCCCCUUGAUACAUGCAUUAAUAAACACUUUGGGAUGCCAGCAAACUCAGCAAGACAAUGUUCUUAGUUACCAGUCUCCAGUUCUAAGCAUUCUGAAGUGGGCCUAACUUAUGGCAACCUAAGCCCUGGGACUAAGGAAUUCGCUGCAGUGAAUGUGUCAGGAAAAUGAAGGCACUGUCUUUUUUUAUCUUCUGUAAGUUGCAACCAACAAGCAAAACCAAGUCCUGUGAUACCACUAGACUUUGCCAGUUCUGAAGUGUUGUACGGUUAACAUGUUCCUGCAAUGACAAAUCACGGGCUUCAUUAGGUAAUCUUCAGCACAUUUCAUUAAAAGAAAGAAUGCUGAUCAGAAUACAAGGCUGUGAUUUACUCAUAGCUUGCCAAGUGGAAUCUGCUACUUCUGCCUUUGAAAUUUGGAAAGUGGUACUUAUUUGAUCCGUGAGAUGGUGCAAGGCAUUGGAGGAGUAGGGAUUCAAACCGUGAGUAAUAUACGUCUAGCUACUGGGCAAUAUCAAGCCAGAAUUAGCGAUAUGAAUUCAACAUUCAAUGAAAAUGAAAUGAGACAGCAAGGUUUUUAUUGGUUCUAGUCUCAAUUCUGAUUUUAAUUAAAUCUGCC